GAGUUUGAUCGUGGCUCAGAACGAACGCUGGCGGCAUGCCUAACACAUGCAAGUCGAACGAUGGCUUCGGCCAUAGUGGCGCACGGGUGAGUAACGCGUGGGAACCUGCCUUUUGGUUUGGGAUAACUCCGGGAAACUGGAGCUAAUACCGAUGAGCCCGCAGCAAUGCGGGGAAAGAUUUAUCGCCAAGAGAGGGGCCCGCGUCCGAUUAGGUAGUUGGUGGGGUAACGGCCUACCAAGCCGACGAUCGGUAGCUGGUCUGAGAGGAUGAUCAGCCACACUGGGACUGAGACACGGCCCAGACUCCUACGGGAGGCAGCAGUGGGGAAUAUUGGACAAUGGGCGCAAGCCUGAUCCAGCAAUGCCGCGUGGAUGAUGAAGGCCUUAGGGUUGUAAAGUCCUUUCGGCGGGGACGAUGAUGACGGUACCCGCAGAAGAAGCCCCGGCUAACUUCGUGCCAGCAGCCGCCGUAAU
Molecule: ribosomal RNA, 474 nt
Filed under: uncultured Alphaproteobacteria bacterium
Lineage: Bacteria; Pseudomonadati; Pseudomonadota; Alphaproteobacteria
Description: bacterial SSU rRNA
Rfam family: Bacterial small subunit ribosomal RNA
Source: RNAcentral